RNAcentral lists this long non-coding RNA (1053 nucleotides) under Pan troglodytes (chimpanzee). Its description in RNAcentral is "lincRNA". The record is from RNAcentral. Lineage: Eukaryota; Metazoa; Chordata; Mammalia; Primates; Hominidae.
GUGCGCGGCGCAGCGCGCGGCGUCAGUCUUGGCUGGGAGACCUGUACUCCGUACUCCGUACUCCGUAGUCGCAGCGGCGCGGUCUUCGGCAGUCUAGUCAUCCACCGCCAUCCUGGGCCCCACAUGUUGCCUGACCAUUCCUGAGCCCAGGUGGGAGCGGUGGCUGAGGUGACGGUCUCAAAGUGGAAGAGCUUACUGUCACAGCAACUCCUUUGCAAGAUGCCCCGGCCAGGAAUAGUUGCUGAACACCCCAGGAUGCUGAGGUCCCUCCUUGAGUCUCAUGUUCAAGCAGUCUUGUGAGUAAAGCACUGGCUACCCCUUUUCACUUACUAUCUUUUCAAGCAUGUUCUACCACCUUGGAAGGUAAGAGGUUAGUACCUUCUUCCAGAGCAGAGGGCAGGCAUUCUUGCUGUGCGUUGUGAAAGGGUAGAGUCCUGCGCUCCCUUCUUGUAGUAGUCCAAUGGCUCAUGCAGGUGCCUCUGACUCCCCUAUGGGAACUGGGGCUUGGGAGGGUGGUGGAAAAUGCUGAUGCUCUGGCUAUUGCUAUUGUUUUGACUAAUCAGUGGUCCCUUGUCCCUAAUCGAGGAAUUUUGUAUUUUCUACCAGUGUCCAUGAAACUGGGAGGUGACCGUGUUAGCUGCCAGUUCCUGACAGCCACCUCUCACCAGUGGCUUCACUCUGUGUCCCUGACCCAGCACAUGGCACAAGAGUGCCUGCCAUCCCUCAGUGUUUCUACAGCAGCAAUCCCGAGAUGCUGGAGCUAGAGGGGACCUGACCUGAGAGAAGAUACCUUCAGUGGCUGCCAGGCUGUUCCUUGGAACCUGUGCAGGGGUAAGUGUGCAGGAAGGUCUGACCUGGCAAGUCACUUCACUCCUGUUUUAUUUAGUCACCUGGCUAAGGAAAAGUUCAAAAACCGUCACCUUAUUUUGACCUUCCCAUAUGGUAAGUCAGGUGAUUGAAUCCCAGAAAGGUUCAUUGUCUUCAAGCUCACAAUACUAUUUUGGGACAAACAGUUGUCUAGUGUUUGGACUCAUGAACCCUGAUUCUUGAGGU